This is a non-coding RNA of Triticum aestivum (bread wheat), 124 nucleotides long. The record is from Rfam. NCBI's taxonomy places the organism in Eukaryota, Viridiplantae, Streptophyta, Magnoliopsida, Poales, Poaceae.
GUAGUACUCCCUCCGUCCCAAAUUACUUGUCUUAGAUUUGUCUAGAUACGGAUGUAUUUAGUGUUAGAUACAUCCGUAUGUAGACAAAUCUAAGACAAGUAAUUAGGGACGGAGGUUGUACUUG